RNAcentral lists this ribosomal RNA (255 nucleotides) under uncultured bacterium. RNAcentral's name for it is "partial 16S ribosomal RNA". It matches the Rfam family "Bacterial small subunit ribosomal RNA", at positions 524 to 776 of the family's 1533-position model. The record is from RNAcentral.
GACGUAGGUGGCGAACGUUAUCCGGAAUUAUUGGGCGUAAAGGGUGCGUAGAUGGUGUAGUAAGUUAUCGGUGGCAAAUCGAGGCUCAACCUCGUGGAAGUCGGUAAUACUGCUAUGCUAGAGGAUAGGAGAGGUUAACGGAACUCCCUGUGGAGCGGUGAAAUGCGUAGAUAUAGGGAAGAACACCAAUAAGGCGAAGGCAGUUAACUAUUCUACUCCUGACAUUGAGGCAUGAAAGCGUGGGGAGCAAAACGG